UGGGGAAUAUUGGACAAUGGGGGAAACCCUGAUCCAGCGAUGCCGCGUGAAUGAAGAAGGCCUUAGGGUUGUAAAGUUCUUUCACCGGGGACGAUAAUGACGGUACCCGGAGAAGAAGCCCCGGCUAACUUCGUGCCAGCAGCCGCGGUAAUACGAAGGGGGCUAGCGUUGCUCGGAAUUACUGGGCGUAAAGGGAGCGUAGGCGGACAUUUAAGUCAGGGGUGAAAGCCUUGGGCUUAACCCAAGAAUUGCGCUUGAUACUGAUAAGCUAGAGGAUGAUAGAGGAAAGCGGAAUUCCUAGUGUAGAGGUGAAAUUCGUAGAUAUUAGGAAGAACACCAGAGGCGAAGGCGGCUUUCUGGAUCAUAUCUGACGCUGAGGCGCGAAAGCGUGGGGAGCAAACA
RNAcentral lists this ribosomal RNA (402 nucleotides) under uncultured bacterium. RNAcentral's name for it is "bacterial SSU rRNA". It matches the Rfam family "Bacterial small subunit ribosomal RNA", at positions 355 to 774 of the family's 1533-position model. The record is from RNAcentral.